Molecule: ribosomal RNA, 253 nt
Filed under: uncultured bacterium
Lineage: Bacteria
Description: partial 16S ribosomal RNA
Rfam family: Bacterial small subunit ribosomal RNA
Source: RNAcentral
UACGAGGGGUGCAAGCGUUGCUCGGAAUUAUUGGGCGUAAAGGGUAGGUAGGUGGUCUCGUUUGUCUGGGGUGAAAGCCCCGAGCUUAACUUGGGAACUGCGCUCGAAACUACUUGGCUAGAGUGUGGCAGAGGGAGGUGGAAUUCCACGUGUAGCGGUGAAAUGCGUAGAGAUGUGGAGGAACACCGAUGGCGAAGGCAGCCUCCUGGGCCAACACUGACGCUCAUGCACGAAAGCGUGGGGAGCAAACAGG